Molecule: ribosomal RNA, 461 nt
Filed under: uncultured bacterium
Lineage: Bacteria
Description: partial 16S ribosomal RNA
Rfam family: Bacterial small subunit ribosomal RNA
Source: RNAcentral
CCUACGGGAGGCAGCAGUGAGGAAUAUUGGUCAAUGGGCUUACGCCUGAACCAGCCAAGUCGCGUGAGGGAAGACUGCCCUAUGGGUUGUAAACCUCUUUUGCCAGGGAGCAACGCCGGCUACGUGUAGCCGGACUGAGAGUACCCGAAGAAAAAGCAUCGGCUAACUCCGUGCCAGCAGCCGCGGUAAUACGGAGGAUGCGAGCGUUAUCCGGAUUUAUUGGGUUUAAAGGGUGCGUAGGCGGGUUGAUAAGUUAGAGGUGAAAUUCCGGGGCUCAACACCGGAACUGCCUUGAAUACUGUUGAACUAGAGAGGAGUUGAGGUAGGCGGAAUGUGUGGUGUAGCGGUGAAAUGCUUAGAGAUCAUGCAGAACACCGAUUGCGAAGGCAGCUUACCAAACUAUGUCUGACGUUGAGGCACGAAAGCGUGGGGAGCGAACAGGAUUAGAUACCCGUGUAGUC